AUCUGCGGAUUUGGAGAACGGUCGCCUAAUGGGUGUACUGUUUUCCUGUCCUAUUUUCUCUAGUUUACCUUAGGUGCGCUUCACUGUGUGUCUAGGGUGGCUAGAACGUUUACUUUGAAAAAAUUAGAGUGCUCAAAGCAGGCUUCUACGCCUGAAUAGUGGUGCAUGGAAUAAUGGAAUAGGACCUCGGUUCUAUUUUGUUGGUUUUCGGAGCAUGAGGUAAUGAUUAAGAGGGACAGACGGGGGCAUUCAUAUUGCGACUUUAGAGGUGAAAUUCUUGGAUUGUCGCAAGAUGAACAACUGCGAAAGCAUUUGCCAAGAAUGUUUUCAUUAAUCAAGAACGAAAGUUAGAGGUUCGAAGGCGAUCAGAUACCGCCCUAGUUCUAACCGUAAACGAUGCCAACCAGCAAUCCGCGGGAGUUAUUCAAUGACUCUGCGGGCGGCUCCAGGGAAACCAAAGUUUUUGGGUUCCGGGGGAAGUAUGGUUGCAAAGCUGAAACUUAAAGGAAUUGACGGAAGGGCACCACCAGGAGUGGAGCCUGCGGCUUAAUUUGACUCAACGCGGGGAAACUCACCCGGCCCGGACACUGUAAGGAUUGACAGAUUGAUAGCUCUUUCUUGAUUCAGUGGAUGGUGGUGCAUGGCCGUUCUUAGUUGGUGGAGCGAUUUGUCUGGUUAAUUCCGAUAACGAACGAGACUCCGGCCUACUAACUAGAACGUAGAUUCUUUGUCUACGAGACUUCUUAGAGGGACUCGGGGCGUCUAGCCUCACGAAGUGGAGCGAUAACAGGUCUGUAAUGCCCUUAGAUGUCCGGGGCCGCACGCGCGCUACACUGAAGGAAGCAACAAGCUAUAUCCUGGUUCGAAAGGACUGGGUAACCUUGUGAACUCCUUCGUGAUUGGGAUAGGGACUUGCAAUUAUUUCCCUUGAACGAGGAAUUCCUAGUAAGUGUGGGUCAUCAUCUCGCGUUGAUUACGUCCUGCCC
Molecule: ribosomal RNA, 986 nt
Filed under: uncultured eukaryote
Lineage: Eukaryota
Description: bacterial SSU rRNA
Rfam family: Eukaryotic small subunit ribosomal RNA
Source: RNAcentral